AGAGAACUGAAUAUUAAUUUCUCUACCAUAAGCCACCUCCAACGUAAUUUUAGAGAAUUUGGCAGUACGUCCAACGACCGCAGACCACGUAUAACCAUGCCAUCCUAGGACAUCCACACCCGGCUUCUUCCCCUGCGGGAUAGUCUGAGACCAGCCACUGAUGAAACUGAGGAGUAUUUCUGUCUGUAAUAAAGCCCUUUUGUGGGGAAAAACUAAUUCUGAUUGGCUGGGCCUGGCUCCCCAGUGGUUGGGCAUAGGCCCAGUCAUGAAAUCCAUAAAUUAGGGCCUAAUGAAUUUAAUGACUGAUUUCCUUAUAUGAACUGUAAACUCAGUAAAAUCGUUGAAAUUGUUGCAUGUUGCGUUUAUAUUUUUGUUCAGUAUAUUUAUAAAACGUGGUUUAGAUAUUGUUGUUAUCAAUGACUAUAGGUUGUGACCCACUAUUAUUUUGGGCUGAGUCCAAGGAUUUCCAUUGAGAAUUGUUUGUCUGUUGCCACCUGCAGGGGGCGCUGGAGCACAGAGGUUUGCCCUCUCCCCUCAACAGCACUCAGAGGCUGUGACAACUCUAACCGUUUCUCCUCCUGUCUCUUUUUUCUUUGUUCUCUUAAACAGAUCAAAAUUCACCCCGGCUCAAACUUUACUGCCCCAAAGAACAUCUGUAGUGCGGAGUUGUCAACCAUGAAGGAGAGGUCUUGGAGCAGGCAGGCCUUCCCCGGGAGGAAGAGCAGCUCCGUUUUGUCAAGAUCAAGGCUAGGUGGGGCUCGGCCAUGGGGGCUAGGGAGUAGCUUUCUCAGGCGCAAGAGAAUUUAGUUCAAAGAAGAUCUAAUCACAUUGGAUCAUUUUUGGGUGGUCUCCAACACAGAAUGCACAUAUAAGGAUAACAGGUGUUGUAUCGGAGAUACAUCGCCUAUGAAAAGAGGCUACUUGCUGUUCACUCAAACCAACGCCGUUUCAGAUUCUAUAGGACAAUCGCCAUAUGCAGGAGCGCAACUUUGGUUUUAGAAGUGGGGACAUUUAUUUUAUAGAUAAUUUUUUCCAGUCGGAUAAACACUCCAAACAGCCUACUCGACCACUCGGAGGCAUCCCCAUGGUCCUAAAGCACACCGAUGCCUCGUUUUGUAUCACAUUCCAAUGAUAAAACUGGGGGUGACAAAAAUGCAAUUUUUAGAAUGGGGGGACAUGUCACUGUCCGCAGUGGAAGUUGCACCCCUGGCUAUAUGUAUGUAUUGUUUGUAGCAUUGUACAGCUAAGUCAGAGUCAUCUUCAGACCUAACUCAAAUUUAAAUAUCUGGCUGUGUCAUUAUGACUUUGGAUAAUCAUUUGACACAUUGAAGUUAUUUCAUUUGAACAAUGGUUAAGCUAAAAGGGGAGAAGAAGGGGAGAAAAAAGGAUCCUGAAAAAGUGACAGUAAUUGGUGAGAAGGUUUUUGUUCAUUGAUUGCAAAUGAGCAUUUGACAGUGUGCGGGUAUUGUCAUGAUAUUGUUAUAAAAAAUAAUAUAACUCAUAAAUGACUCAUAGCAGAAAUAAUGGUGAAUAUUAUUCCAGACACUGACAUGGCUUAAAAGGACACUGCGAGAUUUCGAGAUUUAGGUCGUUUUUUACUUACCCAGAGUCCGACGAACUCACGGAAACCCAUUUUUAGGUCUUUGCUUGCAGUUUGGAUAUUAUUGAAGUUAGCAUAUCGUUAGUUUAGCGCAAUUACUGGAAGUCUCCCACAGUAGCCAGCUCCUCUCAGGGUAAUACACCUUCUAACUACUCCAAAGCUGUGUGGUUGGUCAUUUAUAGUCUUACAUAGCUAUACAUAGUAAUCGAUAUUUUAUAAAUGAGCUAAUUUGACUGAUAAUCAUAAGAAACAAGAUUCUAGCCACGUCCUCAUUCUCUGUCCGGUUAGAGAUCGUAGAGAUGUACUGUUUCUCUCUUAUUAUGGCGUCUGUGAGUGCAUGGGCAGCGCCAUUGAGACAACUCUGAAUCAUGGAUUACAGUUUCUCCUGGCCCAUGGACUGCUUUCAGGGUAAGGAACCAUCUGACUGACUAAGCACAUGCAAAUGUGACUACUUUGCUGUUAUUCUGGCUACACCUUUUAACGUGACUAAGUUAGCCAUAGUUGGCUAGCUAGCGAGCAAGGGAUAAGAACGUUGCCAGCGAGCAUGACAAUGGAGCAUUUAGAACGCACGACUUGUGCUGUCCAUAGAUACAGAACAAAAAGACUAAACAUCUCUAGCAACCAAACCGAUAGCACGAACGACCAGGCUUGGGUAGCAACCCUAGAUUUGUUUCGGGACAAUAUCUUGUGGAAAGAUGAAAUAGUAUGAAUACAUUCAUCAAAA
This is a long non-coding RNA of Salmo trutta (river trout), 2324 nucleotides long. The record is from Ensembl. NCBI's taxonomy places the organism in Eukaryota, Metazoa, Chordata, Actinopteri, Salmoniformes, Salmonidae.